ACUUUCACCCCCACACACCAGUAACAGAAAAACAGGAUGAGGAGAGGCAAACAAUAUGACACCAAGCAUGAAAUCAGCACUUUUCCAGGAAGGAAAUCUAGAAACCCCCCCUCACUUUUUUCUCCGUAUCACAAACUGUUAAAUGCACAAAGUCAGGUGUUUGCUUGGUUUUUUUCUUCUGAGACCAGCACCUCCAUUUCAUCUAUUCCUCAAGCCUUCCUGUCUGGCCCCCGGCUGUGUAGUGAGAACCUGACCUUCUAGAAGCUUUUCUGUUGUGCCGUUCGAAGGCCACAUUAUUUGUAUACUUUUCUCGCCAGUCAAAGAUCUUUCCACAGUUAUCUCCCAGCAGUGAUUCCAGUUCCUGAGACACAAAAGCAUGCAUCAGCCAGUGGCUCUCCUACAAAAUACCUUUGAUGUUGUUAGGACAUGUCUAAUCUUUUUCUGUAUGUGACUGAGAAAAGAGACCCAGGUGUUGCUAGUUACUUUGGAUACGGCAGAUAUACUUUACUCCCAUCACACUCCAAUAACAUCUUGCUGGGAAUCAGAUGGAAGGACCUGUAUUUCCACAAGAGCCCUGUAUCAGCUGAUGAUCUUUGUGGGAUUUUGAGCAUCAACCGAUAGAUCAUCAGAGGAUAGUCUGUGCAAAAGUGAAAGAUGUGAAAGAUGACCAUUUUGGAUUCUGUGAGGGGGAGACUUGCUCUGAUUACAGUUCGCUACAGAAAGAGCAGUUCUUGUUACUUACAGGUCCAGGAGUAGAAUGAGGGCUGGGAGUGAUCACCAAGAGCAGACAGACCUCGUGAAUUCACCUGACUGAGGAACUGUCUGUAUGU
This is a long non-coding RNA of Lepisosteus oculatus (spotted gar), 830 nucleotides long. RefSeq lists it as uncharacterized. The record is from RefSeq and is a predicted model, not a curated record. Lineage: Eukaryota; Metazoa; Chordata; Actinopteri; Semionotiformes; Lepisosteidae.